Molecule: small nucleolar RNA, 70 nt
Organism: Cercocebus atys (sooty mangabey)
Lineage: Eukaryota; Metazoa; Chordata; Mammalia; Primates; Cercopithecidae
Source: Ensembl
GGGCAAUGAUGUAAAGGUUUUACUACUGACCUUUGUAACUGUGAAGGUUUCUACACUUGACCUGAGCUCA